Jaculus jaculus (lesser Egyptian jerboa) is the source of this 107-nucleotide small nuclear RNA. The record is from Ensembl. Lineage: Eukaryota; Metazoa; Chordata; Mammalia; Rodentia; Dipodidae.
GUGCUCACUUCAGCAGCAUAUAUACUAAAAUUGGGACAAUAGGGAGAAGAUUAGCAUGGGUCCUGUGCAAGGAUGACAUGCAAAUUCAUGAAGCAUUCCUUUUUUUG